Molecule: long non-coding RNA, 601 nt
Organism: Solanum lycopersicum (tomato)
Lineage: Eukaryota; Viridiplantae; Streptophyta; Magnoliopsida; Solanales; Solanaceae
Source: RefSeq, a predicted model, not a curated record
UUGACAAUCAAUGUCAUUCUUUUUGGGAAAUGAUGAUAACAAUUUUUGACUUAAUUAUUAAUGAUAUGGGUAAUUUUGACCAGUAUUGUAAUUCCUUUUGAAAAACGUUACGAAAAAUUGAAAACUAAUUCUUGACCAUUUUCUUCUAGUGCUCAUUCGUUCCUAUAAAGUCCACAACACCUUAAUCAAUUUUUGUGAUCAUUUUGAUACAAUUUGAUAAGUAAACUUCUUGAGAUACUGAUUAGGAAUCAUGAAGAACUUCUCCAAUGUAGUUGUCAUUGCUUUUUUCCUCUUCAUUAUUCUUGUUACUACAACAAAAGGAGCUAAAGUAUGUCUAUUUCCCUUUGAAGUCCCCCAACCUUGUGACUCAAAUAAGUGCGAUACCCAAUGCAAGCAACAAUUUGGACAAAAGCCCCCAGGUGCUAUCAAAGGGCCACUUCUUGGAGGAAGUUGCAUUGGUGAAAAUUGUUUUUGCUCUUUUUGUUGCAAAGAGAAAUGUGUUGAUUUACAUCGAUGAAUUCUCUUACUUGCUAUUACUUUAAACGUUCAUAUGGACAUUUGAAUGAAAUAUAUAAAAAUUUAAAUCAAAAGUUUAGUUGAA